GAUGAACGCUGACAGAAUGCUUAACACAUGCAAGUCAACUUGAAUUUGGGUUUUUAACUUAGGUUUGGGUGGCGGACGGGUGAGUAACGCGUAAAGAACUUGCCUCACAGCUAGGGACAACAUUUGGAAACGAAUGCUAAUACCUAAUAUUAUGAUAAUAGAGCAUCCUAUAAUUAUGAAAGCUAUAAGCGCUGUGAGAGAGCUUUGCGUCCCAUUAGCUAGUUGGAGAGGUAACGGCUCACCAAGGCGAUGAUGGGUAGCCGGCCUGAGAGGGUGAUCGGCCACAAGGGGACUGAGACACGGCCCUUACUCCUACGGGAGGCAGCAGUGGGGAAUAUUGGACAAUGGACCGAGAGUCUGAUCCAGCAAUUCUGUGUGCACGAUGAAGUUUUUCGGAAUGUAAAGUGCUUUCAGUUGGGAAGAAACAAAUGACGGUACCAACAGAAGAAGUGACGGCUAAAUACGUG
RNAcentral lists this ribosomal RNA (467 nucleotides) under uncultured bacterium. RNAcentral describes it as "partial 16S ribosomal RNA". It matches the Rfam family "Bacterial small subunit ribosomal RNA", at positions 28 to 507 of the family's 1533-position model. The record is from RNAcentral.